GAAAUGCGAUAAGUAGUGUGAAUUGCAGAAUUUAGCGAAUCAUCGAAUCUUUGAACGCACAUUGCGCCCCUUAGUAUUCCAUGGGGCAUGCCUGUUCGAGCGUCAUUUCAACCCUCAAGCACUGCUUGGUGUUGGGCGUUUGUCCCGCCUACGCGCGUGGACUCGCCUCAAAGUCAUUGGCGGCUGUUCCCCUUCGGCUCGUAAGCGCAGCACAGUCGGCGCCCGGAGCUCUGGUGGGAUGGCGUCCAGCAAGCUAUAUUUUCAGGCUUGACCUCGGAUCAGGUAGGGAUACCCGCUGAACUUAAGC
Molecule: unclassified non-coding RNA, 307 nt
Filed under: plant metagenome
Description: partial contains 5.8S ribosomal RNA, internal transcribed spacer 2, and large subunit ribosomal RNA
Rfam family: 5.8S ribosomal RNA (bases 1-105)
Source: RNAcentral